RNAcentral lists this unclassified non-coding RNA (236 nucleotides) under Hevea brasiliensis (rubber tree). The record is from RNAcentral. Lineage: Eukaryota; Viridiplantae; Streptophyta; Magnoliopsida; Malpighiales; Euphorbiaceae.
GCCCAAUUGGAAGAACAAAUCAAUAAUCAUAAGACGAGAGAAAUCUCUCUCAAUGCUGAUGUUGAACAAUUCAAGACAGAGCUGAGUGAGAAACCACUCAUGCAAGCUCAAAUUUCGGAACUUAAACAACAACUAGUCUCAGUUGAGACCAAAUAUGUAGAAGAGCUGGAAAGCUUGCAUUCAGUAGUUGUUGAGAAGGAGACGGUGCUAAAUUCCAAAUUGGAGGAGCAAACAAG